Molecule: ribosomal RNA, 483 nt
Filed under: uncultured bacterium
Lineage: Bacteria
Description: partial 16S ribosomal RNA
Rfam family: Bacterial small subunit ribosomal RNA
Source: RNAcentral
GACGAACGCUGGCGGCGUGCUUAACACAUGCAAGUCGAACGAUGAAGCGGGUGCUUGCACUCGUGGAUUAGUGGCGAACGGGCGAGUAACACGUGAGUAACCUGUCCUUUUCUUUGGGAUAACGGCUGGAAACGGCUGCUAAUACUGGAUAUUCAGGCUGCAUCGCAUGGUGUGGUUUGGAAAGGUUUUUUCUGGGAUUGGGUGGGCUCGCGGCCUAUCAGCUUGUUGGUGGGGUGAUGGCUUACCAAGGCUUUGACGGGUAGCCGGCCUGAGAGGGUGGUCGGUCGCACUGGGACUGGGAUACGGCCCAGACUCCGACGGGAGGCAGCAGUGGGGAAUAUUGCACAAUGGACGAAAGUUUGAUGCAGCGACGCCGCGUGGAGGGUGUAGGCCUUCGGGUUGUGAACUCCUUUUUCUCGCGAAAAAGGCACAGUUUUGGCUGUGUUGAUGGUAGUGGGGGAAGAAGCGCCGGCUAACUACGUG